CUGCCGGCGAGUGGCGAACGGGUGAGUAAUGCAUCGGAACGUGCCCAGUCAUGGGGGAUAACUACGCGAAAGCGUAGCUAAUACCGCAUAAGCCCGAGAGGGGAAAGCAGGGGACCGCAAGGCCUUGCGCGAUUGGGUUGGCCGAUGUCCGAUUAGCUUGUUGGUGAGGUAAAGGCUUACCAAGGCGAUGAUCGGUAGCUGGUCUGAGAGGAUGAUCAGCCACACUGGGACUGAGACACGGCCCAGACUCCUACGGGAGGCAGCAGUGGGGAAUUUUGGACAAUGGGGGCAACCCUGAUCCAGCCAUGCCGCGUGAGUGAAGAAGGCCUUCGGGUUGUAAAGCUCUUUCAGACGGAAAGAAAUCGCCUCUCCUAAUACGGGAGGUGGAUGACGGUACUGUCAGAAGAAGCACCGGCUAACUACGUGCCAGCAGCCGCGGUAAUACGUAGGGUGCGAGCGUUAAUCGGAAUUACUGGGCGUAAAGCGUGCGCAGGCGGUUGUGUAAGACAGGUGUGAAAUCCCCGGGCUUAACCUGGGAACUGCGCUUGUGACUGCAC
This 557-nucleotide ribosomal RNA is filed under the name uncultured bacterium. RNAcentral describes it as "bacterial SSU rRNA". It matches the Rfam family "Bacterial small subunit ribosomal RNA", at positions 85 to 638 of the family's 1533-position model. The record is from RNAcentral.